AUAUCUCUCUGUACGGGAAGGAUGAGAAGCUUCGACUAAGGUUCGAUUCGAGCGUCAGCGAGAAAGCGUUGCCGCAGGCAACGACCCGAAGGGCGAAGCG
RNAcentral lists this small RNA (100 nucleotides) under Salmonella enterica. RNAcentral's name for it is "partial RtT sRNA". It matches the Rfam family "RtT RNA", at positions 1 to 98 of the family's 130-position model. Rfam says of the family: This family represents a bacterial cis-regulatory element known as RtT RNA. The exact function of RtT is unknown although it is thought that it may be involved in changing the cellular response in relation to amino acid starvation. Lineage: Bacteria; Pseudomonadati; Pseudomonadota; Gammaproteobacteria; Enterobacterales; Enterobacteriaceae. The record is from RNAcentral. RNAcentral also lists the same sequence under 3 other names.